GACUAGUAUUUCAUAUGUCUGACUAAACAGGGUUAAGUUUCUCCAAAGCAAAGAAGUAGGCUAAAGUAUAUCUUAAAGCAACAUUUGUCUGAACUGAAGCAUUCCUAGAUGUUCAUCUAAACGUGCAACUCUGAAUGCAAAGGAAAAUUCCCGCCCUUUUCUGCCACCAUUGCAUAGCGCAGCAGCACUUCAACUCAUUUGAUGGACAGCUCCAUCUUCUCUGCUUAUUAAAUAUAGGCCAGCUGUGCGCAUCACAAAUCCCCAAAUGAUUGCCUUUCAGGUCUUUUUUCACCUCACCCCAUUGGCUGACCGCUGGCCUGAUUUCCACUGAUCCGUAUGUGCGAGCAUGUGAGACAGUACUUAACACACACAAACUCUGGCUCUCACACACACAUUUAGAGAGACACAAGAUGCAGCUGUUAUCCCACUGCGCUCUUUAGACCGCUGCUGACCUGACUCUCUCAUCCUUCAUCAGCCGAAGCUCUUCUGUCAGCAGAAGCAUGCGACGAUUGCUGGACAGCAGCUGGAUAAAGUUUGGACCUGCUGGAAGAGAUGACUGGGUGUCUGGGUCCCCAUCGCCACCUACUGCAGAACAACGACUACAGGGAUAUCACUGGAAUGAGCUUUCGAGCGAAAACGACGUGAAAUCGGAGCUUAUCCUGUACGUCGUCCUCCCGCUCGUCACGCUCCUUGUGUUCGGUGUCGCGUUCGUCCUUCUUUACCGAAGGUUCAGGCAGAACAAGCUCGGGCUUGCCAACAUCCUCGCGCUGGACCUGCAGCACCCAGAGCGCAACGCCGAGAUCCUGUCGUCACUCACCGGGAACGCGGAGCGGCUCAACAGCUCCAGCUCGGACUUGUCUGACGGGGUUUUCCUCAUGGUUUACCUCCCGCCGCCCUACGAGGACACGCUGACGAAGAUAACGCGGGCCGCCAGCCUCAGCAGCGGGAAAGACGUCGAGUCCAUCAAGAUCGAAGACCUCGAAGCCAAACUGUGUCCAGAGCUCAAGUUUGUCUGAGACAGAAGUAGCCUACUAAAGAGACACCGGGGCUAGAUGUAACAGAGCCCUGCUGGGAAAAAAAAUAAAAAAAAAAUAGAACCAUCCCAAAAAUUUCUAAUGGUUUCCACUACAAACAUUACAAACCAUCAGGUUUCCUAUAGUGUGUUUUGGGACAUGUUCCAUUGGGAUUUAUUGGUUUUAACAAGCCACCGAUAGAAGGUGACCAAUUAAGAGAUGCACCGUUUCCAUUAAAAUCAAUACAAUUCCCGUUAUAACCAGUAAAACCAUUAGAAAUUUUGUGAUGGUGUCUGUUGUUUUUAUUGUGAAGAUGACACAAGGGCUAUCUCAGUUUUUUGUUGUCUUGUUGUCUGGUUGAAUUCUCAUCUACAAAACGAAAAUAGCAGAUAAAAACUUAAAAGUAUGUGCCUGACCUUCUAAAAUAAACCUUGAGUGGUAAAUAUUCACUUGAGUAAAAAGUGUGACAACUAGACCCGGCCCCCAUCAUCAUCUGAUUCUGAACUGAAGUUUGCAGGGAUUUUUAUACUGUACCAUAAUAAAGCUAUACAGAAUUAAACAUCUUGAUAUUCAUAUUAGUUUUGCAUUACGACAAUGUAUUGUAUACCACAUCGACAUGAGAGUAAAUCUUUGUGCUUGUAUUUACAGUAGGCUAAGUAAUCACUGUGUGUUUUACUUUGAAAUAUUGCCUAGUUAGACACACUUUGUGUUGCACCACAAUUUUUAGAAGAGACAGCCUCCUUAUUAUGUCACUUUUUAUAUCUGCAAGACUGCAUCAGUCCUUGUUUGCAUUUAAAUAUGAAGCACAAUCCUGGCAGGUUUUGCAUUAUCAUGUACUCAUCUAAACCAUUUCUAAUAAAGACCAUAUUAAAG
Molecule: long non-coding RNA, 1886 nt
Organism: Cyprinus carpio carpio
Lineage: Eukaryota; Metazoa; Chordata; Actinopteri; Cypriniformes; Cyprinidae
Source: Ensembl